UACAGAGGUCCCAAGCGUUGUUCGGAUUCACUGGGCGUAAAGGGUGCGUAGGCGGUCGGGUAAGUCUGACGUGAAAUCUCCGGGCCUAACCCGGAAACUGCAUCGGAUACUAUCCGGCUAGAGGAUUGGAAGGGAGACUGGAAUACUUGGUGUAGCAGUGAAAUGCGUAGAUAUCAAGUGGAACACCAGUGGCGAAGGCGAGUCUCUGGACAAUUCCUGACGCUGAGGCACGAAAGCCAGGGGAGCAAACGGG
Molecule: ribosomal RNA, 253 nt
Filed under: uncultured bacterium
Lineage: Bacteria
Description: partial 16S ribosomal RNA
Rfam family: Bacterial small subunit ribosomal RNA
Source: RNAcentral